GCGAUACGUCUGCUGCAUUUUUUAUAAAUACAGUAUGCUCAUGAAUGUAACAUUUCAUAUGAAGACAAGGUUUUCUUUUCGUUCACAUGUACCAAUAUACCAUCCUGAUGGAAAAACGAAGUGGGAUUACCUUGCUGCUGUUGCUGUGUCAACAUGCAUGUUUCCUCUCUGCAAGUAAUCCAAUAAAACAAACAGUGGCCUGUGAAGGACAAACUGCAUCCCUCAGUUGUGACACGGGAUUCAUACAUGUCAGUGAUGCCAACUAUGGAAGCAAUGAUGGCAGUUUAUGCUCUGCUGGACAACGACGUGAGUGGCUCACAAAUGUUCACUGCUUCCAAAAAACAUCCCUCCAAACGAUGACCACAAGAUAGAGGUGUUAUUGCUAUUCAUCACGCCAAUUAUGGACGCCGGGAUGUGGCACCCUGCCUUGAUAAAUCAGCAGAUUGUUAUUAUCCUCAGACUGCCAGUUUAAGUUCCAGGUGCAAUGGAAAAAGGUCUUGUCUUCUAACUGCUUCAAAUUCAGUGUUCUCUGAUCUGUGUUACGGUAUCAGGAAGUACCUGGAAGUGACAUACUACUGCAAAUUAGAAUAGCAUGAUUUACAUCAGUCGAUGAGGAAACGGCCUGGAAGAGCAGAAGCAGCAUAUCCUUUUCUUUAGCAAUACCAUUGCUGUUUCUCUUAUGAUUCUCUUUUUUCCUUAAAUCUGCUUUAAAUUUGUU
Molecule: long non-coding RNA, 718 nt
Organism: Carassius gibelio (silver crucian carp)
Lineage: Eukaryota; Metazoa; Chordata; Actinopteri; Cypriniformes; Cyprinidae
Exons: 7
Source: RefSeq, a predicted model, not a curated record